Molecule: long non-coding RNA, 6413 nt
Organism: Struthio camelus australis
Lineage: Eukaryota; Metazoa; Chordata; Aves; Struthioniformes; Struthionidae
Source: RefSeq, a predicted model, not a curated record
AACAAUGUUAUCAUUAUGGGACUGCAGGGUGCCCUUAGCCUCCCUUUACAAUGGGUGAUUGUUAUCCCCUGCCUCAGGAAACCAUCACUUGACGCUGGCAAGCUAUCUUCUUGUCUCUACCUGUUAGUGGCUUGAGGGAACAGUAUUGCUCCAGGAGGUGAUUGCCAACAUGUGGUUUAUUUCUUAUGCAGGACCUUGAAGUUGUGCUGAACAAUAUUUUGUAAGAUGAAAACUAAGGCAAAGAAAGGUCUACUGUAUGAAAAUCCCAGAAAGUUCCAUUAGUGAGAUAUAUAAAAUUCCUGGCUAGAAAAUUUUGGUUGGUGUAUUUCUCUUACAAGCAAGGCUCGUAAGAAUGUUUCAUUGCUGAGAGGCCAGUGAUAAUGAUACCCUUAAGAAAAGACUCUGUAACUCUAUCACAAUUCCAGAAGCACCCAGAGCAGCAGAUUCUCCAAUGGUAUUUACCAGGUCAUCCUGAGAAUAAAUGUGCAAAGAACCACACUAACGGGAUGGUUUUCAACAACAUUUUGGAAGAGAUGGAAAACUGGUUUGAAAGCUAAGCUGCCAGCCAGAAAGACCAUUGCUGCAAAGGAAAAAUGAAACUUCUGUGUCCUGAUACCCCCAGAUCAAGAGGGACCAAUGGAAAAUACUUAAUGUCUUUGACAUCCCUAUUGCCCUGGCCUUGGGUUCCUCAAGUGGUGUUGGAAGAAAUGACCCGAUUCUCUUACAGUCCACUCUGGAGGAGUCCUUCUUCCGAAAGAAGAGACCAGUAUCACUGCCAUCCUUUAAAGCACUAAGGCACUGCAUGGCUUUCAUAGCUUUGCUCAUUCAUCAGAGCUCUCAUCCUAAGUGAAGCACUUGAGUUCAUGCCCCUCUCAUUGCUCUCUGUAAAAGAUUUUAACCCUCACGCUCUUUUUAGGGGUGCGUGUCCUCGGCCAGAGGCUGCUCAUUACAAACUGAUGUUAGAGUCAUAAAACAGCCACAGAAGAAAGAGAAGGAUAACCUUUCAUUUACAUUGCAUUCCCUCUGUUCCCCAAGUGGGUCUUCAUUUUGGCAUUUCUAAAAUGGACAGCAAUGAUGCUGAAUUAAUACAAACACAUACACAGGUGUUGCGAGGCUAGUAUUAACGCUUGUGAGGAAUAGGAAGCUCCUGAGAAAAGAGAUGCAACUCUGGAAGUUUGAACCAUCCGUGUUGCACAGCUGAUAGCAAGUUUAACCUGGUCAAACAUUAAACCUGAAGGAAUAUCUUUGCAUAGAAGGAUUUAGCCUAGUUAUGAAUGUGUUAAAUAAGUUGCUUUCUUAUCUGUAAAGGAAGAACUUGAUAAGCAUUUCUUCUGACACCAACUUCUAAAACUCCGCCCUCACCAUAAUAUAAUCUUCUCAGUUGGGCUAAUACAUCUGUCUGUGGGGGUCACACAGUGAAUCAGUUUCCAGAUCUGGUCCAAGUUAAAAGUACCUCAGCCAAAAGAGACGAGAUUAAGGUUUGUUUGUUUGUUUUUGGUUUUUUUGUUUUUUUCCUUUCUGAAUAAGUUCACAGCAUAGGUACAUAAACCAGCAAAACUGGCUAGGUUAGCCAGCACUGCUGAUUCAAGAAACGAUUGUGAAAUUACAUCCCAGUGUUGUAGCUGUCCUUAGCGCUAAGAACUGCCAAACUAGCCCUUUCGUGAUUGUUUAAUCCCAUUCCUGAGUGCUUAUUUUGAAUAUAGGACAAUGGUUGCAUGAGGACUUGAAGCCUAAGAAAAAAUGCAGACAUGAAUUUCUGUGCUGACAUUCCUGACUGAAUUGCUUAAGAGAAUUUUAGGUUGCCUAUGGGAGAAAUCAAAAUAGGCCAGUAUUUUAAAGGUCAGUAGCUGAGCCUCCAGGUUGUAGAGAGCCUCCCGGUAAAAAUGUGCAUACAAAAGAUUUGGUCAGGUUACUGUUUGAUUAUUUAAAUGUGAUGCUACUAUAUAUUUUUGCUAAUAUUUUCAGUUAAUUUUUAUAUUCUAAUCAUGACUGUUCCAAUGUUCCGUGACUAAUUUAAAAUGUUACAAAAACGCUCUCUUCCUACUCAUUCUCUAUGUUUUUCCUCCUGCAAAUUCUAAUUCUCAAUUCUGUAAAAAUUCCUAAUACCCUAGCAGCCUGUUAGUUGAUGUGCUAAUUUGUUUUUGAGCAAGUUAGCCAAAUAAACUGUCUGAACACAUUUCUAAGAUUAUUUGGAAAAAUUCCUCUGCUGCAUUGUGUAUAAUUAGGCUUGGCAGAACUCAGAUUCUGUAAUGACAGUUUCCGUUGCAGAUUUCUAAGAGGAAUCAAGGACAUGAAUCCACUGCUUGCCACUGCAGAGAACUCCAACUCAGUAAGGUUAUUCUGCAAAAAGUUUACUGUCUGCUGACUCUCUAGUGCUUUAUGGCAAAAUGUGUCCAAAUUUAUUCUCUGUAGCGAAGAUUCAAAAAAUCAUUAAAGAUGUUUAUUACUAGUCAAUAUCAGAUAAAAAAAUAUAAACAUAUAUCUGCUGAAGUGUACAGCUAAGUGAAGCACAGAUAAAUCUGGGAGUCUGUUUGGAUUGCACUUCUGUACUACACAAAUGUGGGACUUUGGGCAAAUUGCAGCCACAUUUUCAAAAGCAACUUAAAGAUUUCCUUUGAUUUGUUUUCAGUCAAGUAUCUUUCACUAUAUCACACUGAGACCUCUUGAAUAAUUCUAAUUAGCAGCCUUCAGAAAAAAAGGACAACCCUUAUUUUCUCUGUUUCAGGCUGUAUAUUCAACCUGUUCUUCUCCCUGAUUACCUAACAGGGUUGUAGGCACAAUUUUCAUUCAUUAUCCUAUCCCAUGGGGGUAUCAAAUGAGUAAAUGAAAUAAUCUUUGAUCAUUUUCAUCAAAAUACUGCUUCCACCUAAGAUUCUCAAUGUGUUUUUCUUUGCAGAAACUAUGCUACACUCCAGUAUCAUUUUAAACUCUUCGGGACAACAAUUUUUACAAGACAGCUGUAGUGCAGAUCACAGGGUACUUUGAGUUACAGUACGAAAACAAGCUUCCCAAACAAUUCACUAGAUCUUGUAAGUGAGCUUUUCCAAAUAAGACAUCAUGCUUCCAAGCGUGUGGACAAUAUCACAGGGAGCCAAGAAUAUGGAGAAUUACAAUACUCCAUUAAUAAACAUGCUUGUUCUCCCUCUCCCACUGAACCAUUAUUUUGAAAUUCUGAAUUCUAAACUGAGCAGAGUGAAACGUAAUUUUCUUUCCUUCUCAGCCUUGACAGCACAGAAAUAUAACUAAAGUACAUUUUUGGUCAAGGCAGAUGGCAUUUCACAUCUAUGUUAAAAAUAUGUUUCCCCUCAGCAAAUCAUUGCCCUGUUCUAGUGAUUAAUAUGAAAAGUGAUGUACACACUACAAAAAUAGCUGCAUCUUUGAAAGACGUGAGACUGUUCUAGAAAGUGUCUAUGGGAGAGGUAAAUAGGCUUUCGCCCAGUCCUUUUAAGUAAGGCAGCAUUAAAAUUAACACAGUUCAGAAUGUGAAAUGGUUUUGGUCACAGAAUUAUGUCCUCUAUUGGGAAAAAUGAGGAUCUUUCAGGAAAGAUGGUAAGCUCUGUUGUUAAGGCAUCACUUGCCUCAUGACGUUCCCUUUGAAAAGUAGGGGAGCAGAUGUAUCCCUGGAGUAAACCCAACCUCCACAGAUAAAAUUGUUCCGAGAUUUUCAAUAACAAUCCUUCAUAGCUAGAGCAACAGGAGUGGGAGGUAGGGAAGUCUUCAGAAGUGAAUUAUCCUUGAAAAUAAAUAUUUCUUAUUAACCUAAGGUAGUUUCUAUAUUAACCUCUCCUUGACAGUAUGCGUUUUCAGUUCUCUUUUGCUAUACCUGAAUGCUUUCUCUUUUUAAACUUGCUCUCCUGGGACUGUAAUUCAUUCUGUAUUCCUUUCUCCUAUAUGAUUGUAUAUAAAUAAAUAGAAUCCGAGGAAAAUAUGAAAUUGCAGUAAAGAAAUUAACCUUCCCUCAAGAAUAGUUUCUCUUUCCUGCUGUUUCCUUCUGUGCCCUUUUUCAUCCUCUCUUUCUUCACAAUCCUCAUAGUCUUUUGUUAUUCUGAUAAACCUACUAAUACCGAGGAGCCAGCCUAAUUGCCACCCAUCCCUGGAGAGAGGGGAGAGUGAUGGGUAAGCAGAUGUCAAAGUCUCAAAACAAAGGUGAGUACAAAGCUAUGCAGAGUGCUGGUGAUUUAUAAAGGAGGCCUUAUCGAGCAUUGUUUUGGGAAAUGGUUAUGCACAGAAUUGACAGCUUCAGCUGAAAAGAAAAAAGGAGCACAGUUGGGAUCUAAACCUACCUGAGCAAGCACAUUAUCAUAACCCUUAGAGAAAGCCUAAGGAAAGCUUCAGAAAAGGAUUUAGAGGAAGGGAGUUAGAAAAGGGAGGCUGGCAGCUCUGGGCAAAUAACAGUUUCUGUUUGGAUGAGCCGCUGUUCAGGGAAGCAAAAUCUCAUGCAGUUCUUAUAAAGAACCAGCAAGGAUACCUACCUCACCGUCUUUCCUGCUUCUAACUGAAAUUCUUGCAAGCCCUCACAAAUUUUGGCUAACCAGUGAAAGCAAGAGGCAUAAUGAAGUUUUCUAUUUUUAAUGAAAAAGGGCCUUGAUGUCUCGUAUGCUGAGAGCACGAAUUUGGACGACCUGCAUGACAUGGACCAUGCGCCAUACAGGCCUUGCUCUCCAACCACCUGCUCCAGGCUCCUGCAAGAGGCAGGACAUUGCCCACGUCCUCAUGCUCUCCACUUUGGAGGCAUCAGCAGACACCCACGCCAACCCAUAGCUAUGCAGGAACUGCCCAGAAUUGCCCCUGUCGUUUAUAAAUAACUGACACAAACCUCUUGCCUUUGAUUUUUUGUGGAUUGCUUUGCCCAUCUGUGGCUCUGUAUAAAAAAUAAUUAUUACGCUGUAACAUAUCGUUUACCUGAGUUGAAAGGCUGAAAACACUAAGGUAUCUUUUCUUUCACUCUUCUGCUAGAAACAGUUACUAGGGACAAAUAACUUAAACUCCCCCAAACAUAAGUUUAUACCAGUAGACUCAUAAGGAAACAAGAAUCCAUAUUAGCGUAUUGUUGUCUGUAAACAAAGCCUAUUCCCUGGCCCCAGAAAUAAUUAUCUAGACUUACAGCUUAAUAUAGAAAGUAUGAAAUGUAUAUAUUAUUUAAGGUAGGAUUGUUUUAUAAAUUUGAUAUGUAGACAUAUAUUUCACUCAAUAACUAUGACAGCUAUAUAUUUACUGUUUAAAGGUAGUCUUUUGCAUAUGCAAUAGUUCAGUGAAUCACUUUGGAUUAAAAAAAAUUCAAAACAGGCUAAGGAAAAAAAACAAUAGUAUCACAUUGAGAAGAAGGUAAAUAUGUGGUUCAUUUAGGUUGUUUCACAGGAUUCUCGAAAAUCUUUCUAGCAAGUCCUACUGAAAUGUACCUUCCCUUUUUGGAGCUCAGAAGCUCAAAAUUUAGAUUUUGAAAUGGUAAAAAUUUAAGCAAAAAGUAUCUAUAAUAAAUACUCACCUACAUGAUACCACGGGUCAGAACUUGCUGGAAUGAACGAAUGGGUGAGUGAGCAAAGUAAUUAGCUUUGUCUGGAAAGGGAGGGCUCUGGCCCAGCCAAUUGGGAUUUGUUAUUUAGUGAAAACCUUAACAUAAUUAUAGGGUAGUCGAUUAAACGUGUCUGCUUGCUGUCAUAGCUAUUCACAGUAAGUAAGUAGUAUGACCAAACAUUACCUCUCACAGGUCCUACACUAUGUUCUGUAGCCUACCUCACAAACACCAAGCAAAUACUUUAAAAGAGAUCUUUUUUCCUUCUCUAAAGUGGACCUAUUUUACAUUUUGACUUCAUAUUACUUUUUAGUGCCCCAGUGGUUUGACUAGUGAAACUAAAAGAUUUUUUUCAUGGUGUCACUAUGGAGAACUGGGGUGGAGGGAAGCAAAACGACAUUCCCGAGGGCCCUGUCCAAAGCGCCUAGUGCAUCCGGCAGGUACCGCGGUACACACUGUGCGGGAAGGAGGGCUGCAUGAGGAAGUCCUCAACUGACCAGUGGACACCAAGGUUGCUAAGCCUAGAGAUCGCUGAACUGGGCACCACCUGACCGUUCUCACAGAGAUGCGGGCAGCACCACUAGAGGUUCGCUUGUGGACGCUGAUGUAGGGUAUGUUAACACAUACCCACAUAAAGGCAAUGGAACAACCUUCUCUAUCUGUCAUUCAACCCUCAGUUCUGAUUACGCUCACACAGUUCUCUGGGUUCAAGUCUUCCCACAACCACCAGCUGGGAGGCAGUACCAUAGAUUACAGCUGUUCUGAGCUGCAGACUUUCCAUCAUGCUAGAAAUAUGAUAAUUUAAAAUUUGUUUAUUCUCUGCUUCAGAACGAAAGUGUUUUUACCUUUGAAAUUGCUUUUGGUCUCAAGAAGAUUUUGUUUCAGUGUUGAAACAUUUUUA